AGACUUCUGCAGCGUUCGAGAAGUUUCUUGGUUCUUUUCCUUAUUCUCAAUUAUCGGGGAGCCUGUCGAUAGGCGUUCGCCGUCAGGCCGUAAAUCGGAAGACGAAAGGCGUCACGAGGGCACCCACCUGACCUACCGAGGUCAAAGGACCAGAGUUCACGACGUACGGCGCCGGCGGAAGUUUU
RNAcentral lists this non-coding RNA (185 nucleotides) under Opitutales bacterium. RNAcentral describes it as "6S RNA". It matches the Rfam family "6S / SsrS RNA". Rfam says of the family: E. coli 6S RNA was the first non coding RNA to be sequenced, but its function was unknown until recently. It consists of 184 nucleotides that fold into an extended hairpin structure with a large single-stranded internal bulge. The record is from RNAcentral. Lineage: Bacteria; Pseudomonadati; Verrucomicrobiota; Opitutia; Opitutales.